This 371-nucleotide ribosomal RNA is filed under the name uncultured organism. Its description in RNAcentral is "partial 16S ribosomal RNA". It matches the Rfam family "Bacterial small subunit ribosomal RNA", at positions 527 to 896 of the family's 1533-position model. The record is from RNAcentral.
GUAGGUGGCAAGCGUUGUCCGGAAUUAUUGGGCGUAAAGCGCGCGCAGGCGGUUCUUUAAGUCUGAUGUGAAAGCCCGCGGCUCAACCGUGGAGGGUCAUUGGAAACUGGAGAACUUGAGUACAGAAGAGGAAAGCGGAAUUCCACGUGUAGCGGUGAAAUGCGUAGAGAUGUGGAGGAACACCAGUGGCGAGGGCGGCUUUCUGGUCUGUAACUGACGCUGAGGCGCGAAAGCGUGGGGGAGCAAACAGGAUUAGAUACCCUGGUAGUCCACGCCGUAAACGAUGAGUGCUAAGUGUUAGGGGGUUUCCGCCCCUUAGUGCUGCAGCUAACGCAUUAAGCACUCCGCCUGGGAGUACGGCCGCAAGGCUG